This 445-nucleotide ribosomal RNA is filed under the name uncultured bacterium. RNAcentral describes it as "bacterial SSU rRNA". It matches the Rfam family "Bacterial small subunit ribosomal RNA", at positions 29 to 517 of the family's 1533-position model. The record is from RNAcentral.
AACGAACGCUGGCGGCAGGCCUAACACAUGCAAGUCGAGCGAACCCUUCGGGGGUUAGCGGCGGACGGGUUAGUAACGCGUGGGAACAUACCCUUUGGUACGGAAUAGCCUCGGGAAACUGAGAGUAAUACCGUAUGUGCCCUUCGGGGGAAAGAUUUAUCGCCAAAGGAUUGGCCCGCGUUGGAUUAGGUAGUUGGUGGGGUAAUGGCCUACCAAGCCUACGAUCCAUAGCUGGUUUGAGAGGAUGAUCAGCAACACUGGGACUGAGACACGGCCCAGACUCCUACGGGAGGCAGCAGUGGGGAAUCUUAGACAAUGGGCGCAAGCCUGAUCUAGCCAUGCCGCGUGGACGAUGAAGGCCUUAGGGUUGUAAAGUCCUUUCAGCUGGGAAGAUAAUGACGGUACCAGCAGAAGAAGCCCCCGGCUAACUCCGUGCCAGCAGCUG